This 468-nucleotide ribosomal RNA is filed under the name uncultured bacterium. RNAcentral describes it as "partial 16S ribosomal RNA". It matches the Rfam family "Bacterial small subunit ribosomal RNA", at positions 28 to 507 of the family's 1533-position model. The record is from RNAcentral.
GACGAACGCUGGCGGCGUGCUUAACACAUGCAAGUCGAACGGAAAGGCCCUGCUUUUGUGGGGUGCUCGAGUGGCGAACGGGUGAGUAACACGUGAGUAACCUGCCCUUGACUUUGGGAUAACUUCAGGAAACUGGGGCUAAUACCGGAUAGGAGCUCCUGCUGCAUGGUGGGGGUUGGAAAGUUUCGGCGGUUGGGGAUGGACUCGCGGCUUAUCAGCUUGUUGGUGGGGUAGUGGCUUACCAAGGCUUUGACGGGUAGCCGGCCUGAGAGGGUGACCGGGCACAUUGGGACUGAGAUACGGACCAGAAUCCUACGGGAGGCAGCAGUGGGGAAUAUUGCACAGUGGGCGGAAGCCUGAUGCAGCAACGCCGCGUGCGGGAUGACGGCCUUCGGGUUGUAAACCGCUUUCGCCUGUGACGAAGCGUGAGUGACGGUAAUGGGUAAAGAAGCACCGGCUAACUACGUG